UUUGGUGGACGAACAACAAGUUGGUCAUCAAGCUCUCGUCGCAUCAGUUCAAUACUUAAAAGGAGGUAAUGAUCCUUUUCUCAUUAGUAUAAGAAUAUUGUUUGCCAACAUAGACUAAAAUUUGUUAUGCUUUCUGAAUUCUUUCUUAUGUGCAAACUGAUGUAUUAAAUGUUCUCGUUAGAAUGUGGAGUGUUAAUGGAUUUUAGUGAGGUGGAUGGUAAGUUUAACUUCUAAAUUAUUGGGUAUCGACUGUUCGACAAUGUCUAAUGGAAUACAAUUAUCUUUACUAGUAUAGAGAAAUUACUUUUUGGAUGGAACAAUUAAUUCUCCCUCUUUUCCUGAUUAUUUCAUGUUUAGAUUGGUUGUGUAUUUAUUAACCUGCAUUUUCCUAUUUAUUUAUUGGAUUUACUUCUCUAUGAGUAUUGCUUUUGUUAGACGUGUACGUCUUCUAAGUAAAAGCAACAUGUGGCCUCUGUAAAAAAUUUAUGUGUAGAAAAAUAUAAUCUAGUCCAGCUGCAAUUUGUUCUCCUGUAUUUUUCACUGUUAGUAAACGUGUAUUUCAUGAGAUUACUAUUGGAUUAAAGACAACUUUGUACUAAUACACAUAGGCAUCGACCUCUAUUUUCAUGGUCUGUCCAGAGCAAUAGUUCGUUCAAUACUUCAUGAUAUUUAAUCCCGUCUUACUACUAUCUUGAUAACUCUAUAAUAACUUAUACUACCAUUAGGAUAUUUCAGAUUCCAUAUUUUUCUACUUCUUAAAGGAUUUUGUAUAAAGGAUUUUUCAUUUCCCUGUAUAUGUUCUCUUUAAAUUUUGGACAAGUAGUUUAAGUUUAGAGUGUUGGACACCAUGUACCGGUGAUGUCAUUGAUAUGCCAACUCAUGAUCUACAUUCAGAAGAUAUAGAAGAAGAUAUGGAAACAUCAGAAGAAGAUGAGGACUUUGAUGAUGAUGAGGACUUAUAUGAUACCGAUUGGGAUUGGAUGGUGGCUGAUUAUUGAGGAAGGGACUUUUCAGAAAUUUCUCUAUUGCAUUUUCUUAUUUGUACUUCUGAUCUUGCCUUUUUUAUUAUUAUUGUGUACUUAUAGUUUUUUAUGUUUUCUUGUUGUUAUUAGAGAUAUCUUUAGUGCUUCAUAUGUUGAAACUAGCUGAGUGAUUUGUGCUUCCUAAAGACUAGGUGAAUUAGGUAGCAAGAAGCGGUGAGUCUGAUUUAUGCUUCAUCCUUUCUCCCUUUUUUUCUAGUUCAUCUUAUAAUGUUACAAAAGUUAUUGCGACUGUAAUCUUCUUUUCUCUGUUUCUGCUUUAUCUUGAUUUUUUUGGGAUGUCUAACUCCUUAUCCUUUUAUCUCUAUUUAUACAGUAGGCAGUACUUGCUAGUCAUGGCACGACGAGAGUCUUCAAGAAUAAGGAAUAAAGAUACAGGAGAAACUGUUCCAGUUGGAACACUUAUAUCUUUGGUGAAUCAAAGGAAGUUGUUGCUAACUAGAAGAAGAAAUGAUAUAACGAGUUUGAUAAGGUCAAUUGAAAAGGGCCAG
RNAcentral lists this long non-coding RNA (1531 nucleotides) under Solanum tuberosum (potato). RNAcentral describes it as "long non-coding RNA (STUB_LNC010746)". Lineage: Eukaryota; Viridiplantae; Streptophyta; Magnoliopsida; Solanales; Solanaceae. The record is from RNAcentral.